AAUGCCCCGUGGGCUAUGGACACAAGUCACGAAGACAACUAGCAAUUACUCGUUGCCAAACCGAAGAAGAUCAAGAUUGUCGUCAGAGUAGCUAGCAGAUACAGCAGCUUGAGUCUCAUAGCCAAACCCAAGCAGAUCAAGCCUUAAGAGUAGCUAGCUCACACGGCAGCUUGAGUCUCAUAGCCAAACCCAAGCAGAUCAAGCCUGUCAGGAGAGCUGGAUUUCUCUAAUAAUUCGUGUGUUCUUCGUUGAAUUCUUGUGGCCAUGAGAUCGAAUAGUAAUACUUCUUCCGAGCACCGCAACAUAUCACUCCUCCGCGUUUUCGGCCAAGGCAAAAUGGUCCUGAAAAAGGGCAUCACUGGAUAGCGCCCCCUAAUAUUUCAAGCGUGAUAUUUCCCUUUAAAAUUGUUGCAUCACACCAUCUUUAUAAUUUCUACCACCAUCUUAUAAGCCGUGUCGGCACUUGGCACUCGGAUAAUAAGUUUUUCGCUUCAAUACUCAUGCGCCAUCCAUCCAAGGUCCUACCCAUAAAAAAAUCCAUCAGCUCGCUCCUUUAUUUGUUGAUGAAUCAACAAAUUAUAGGAAUAGAGAAAGGAAAAGGAAACAUGUCAAUCGGCGGAUAUGGUCAGCCAGUCUAUGCGGUGAAAAACCAGAUCAUGCUUUCUCUCUGCAUAAUUGCUGGCUGCCUUGAAAGCGUGAUCAUGUCUCCAGGGAAGGAAGCUAUAAGCCAAAUCCUUCUGUCUUUCAGCCUGGCUAUAGCUUAUGCUCUCGCGAUGGCGUCCAUAUUUGCGCCCAGCACGACGACGAGGGUGCUAGCUGCCAGGCUGAGCCUUGUCUCAGCUACGAUUUCUGUGGCUCUCGUGAUGACGAGAGAGCUGGCCUGCAAAGUUCAAACAUGUCGCUGUGCAAACGGGGCCUAGUCCCUCAGAUGGUUUGGCUAAAGGUGUCUUUGUGUCAGAUUGGCGAUAUAUGUAAGAAGAGAUCUGGUUCUGUAUCUUAAACUAUGCAAGAGUGUGAGUGUGGUAUGUUAUCAUUGUUGUGUUGUGAGAUGUGGUCAGGUUGACUAUAUGUAUAGUAGUUUGGGUGAUAUGAUUUUAUUACUGUAGUAAUAAUAUGGUGCAGAAAAUUUGUGUCA
Long non-coding RNA from Lolium perenne, 1135 nucleotides. RefSeq lists it as uncharacterized. The record is from RefSeq and is a predicted model, not a curated record. Lineage: Eukaryota; Viridiplantae; Streptophyta; Magnoliopsida; Poales; Poaceae.